This is a long non-coding RNA of Anolis carolinensis (green anole), 2381 nucleotides long. The record is from Ensembl. NCBI's taxonomy places the organism in Eukaryota, Metazoa, Chordata, Lepidosauria, Squamata, Anolidae.
GCAAUGGGGGAAAGCUCUUCCCCCAUGCAAUGGGGGUCAAGGACUAUGAAAAGACUGUACUUGAAUACAUCCUCUAUUCAAGGACUUUCCAGCCCAAGUCUAGUGUCAAGACUGAAAGCUGUAAACAAAAGACAGCAGGAGCCUUGAUGUUGCCUAUCAAUACUCAGCAUCCGCACAGCAGACAGGUCAUUUGGUCCCAGCCUUCCGUACUUUGGUAAGGAAUACUUCUAUUCAAAGUACUAUUUCUAAAUUUAAAUCUCUAGCAAACUUAGCACAUCUGACUUCUAUCCAAAUUGACGAUGUUUUGUGUCUUGAAUUAAAAAGUCAGUGGUAGUCUUUUCAUACCUACUAGAAUUUGUUCCAGUUCCUAGACUAUUACCACUAAUUUAUAAAAUAAGCUACAGCAAUAGUUCUUCUUGCAGUUAUGGUAAAUGUGAGUGAAAGUGAACCCUUCUUUUUGCUUUGACAGUAAUAUUAACACAUUCGGAAUGUUUAAAAAAUGGAAUUAAAUAAGACCAAUAAGGUAAAUAAAAGACAGAUUGAUAUCAUGAAAAGCCAAACAUUGUAAGAUUUUGUUUUAAUAUUUUCUUUUAUGGAUUUCUCUGUGAUCUUCCAAUCCACAAGGGCUUCCAUGACAAUGAGGUGCGCAGGAUUUUGUAAAAAAAAUAAACAAAACAAGUGAAUAAAGACUCUCAAAUUAAAGCAUUUUUUUAAAAAAGGUGCAGGAUUUAUUUCAUGAUCUACAUUGUCCAAUUCUCUGUUUUUGUGUUUCUCUAAGCUCUUUUCUUCCUCUCCAACAUUAACUAUGAGCACCUUUCCUUUUAGCACAUUAAGAGUAAAAUGGCACUAUUAGACUAGCAUUGCAGAUAGACUAGCCCAUUAAUUGUUGUAUUGUGGGGAGGGGGAGUCUGUUUGUAAGAGAUCCUGGGUAAGUGUUUACAUUCCCCAUUGUUGGUUUCAAGCUAUGAAAGGCACUGUAUUAGUGAAAAUGAACCUUGGAGAGGCUUUCUUCUUUUUCAUUCACAAGUAAAUAAAAACAUUUUCUGAUGUGAUUGCAAGUCACCCUGGGCAAAUCAGAAAUGAUUCUAUGAAUAAAAUAAAUGCCACACAUAUGAGCAAAAAAGGAGGAAACUACUGAGUGUGAAUCACAUAGCUCACAUGAAAUUUUAGGCUGUGAGCUUGGGUUUCCUAUUGAAUUUAACAGAGCUUACUUCUGAGCAAGGAAGGAUCACAACUACACCUAGGACCAUAGUCAUAAGGUCAUUUUCUGUAUAGCCGGAAACCAUAUCUCUAGUUUUAUAUCAAUACUAUUACUGUAUGAUUUCUUUUAUCUUUACUCCAAUGAACAAAAGUGUUUAUGCAUUUAAAUAACAAUGGCGUUUGUUUUUGGCAACAUGUUAAACAUAGAAAUUCAAGAGAUUCAUGAAUAUUUAAUAAAAAGUGAGAUAACUUAUUUGACUUCCACAAAUACUUGAAUGACGCUGAUAAUGACUGCAUACAGAUCACUCCAUCAUGUGCUUUAUUGAUAUAUUAUUUUAAGCACAGGACUCUGUUGUAUAACUGCAGCAUACCUAAAGAAAACCUCACACUGCAUUUGCUACAGAAGUAUAUUCCUUGGACAUCAGGACUUAAUUACAAUAUUUUAGUUGGUGGAAACAGACAAUAAACACACUAGAAGGUUUACAUGACCAAGGGGAAUCAAACCUACCAAUAUCCCUCUGUUACAGGUGGUAGCCAUUUAUCUGAGACAAUUGAUAUGUGUGGGUCUAAAACCACUGCUGCCAUUCUGCAGUCUGCACCAAUAUUUUUGCUGUGAGAUUUACUGGUUUAUUUUGAAAAGUUUAAGCUCUCUAAUGUACAGAUGCAUCCUUUACUUAUGCUAAGAUGAAACAGCUGCCUCUAUUACUGGGUGGUAAGGAGACCCAGGCUAAGAGAGGCCGAGAUGUCCUAGAUGCUACUACACAAUGUUUUGGAGGUUUUUUUUGUUUGUUUGUUUUUGCAGUUUUUCAGAGUUGCAGAAAAGCUUCAACCAAUUCUUUGGCAAGCAUUUGACUGAAAAGUGAAGUGAUUUGAUCAUUGUACAAAUGGAUGAGAUUUUCGUGCUUCUUGAAAAUUGGUUGUGCAACUAUCUGACUUAGAACUUUAUCACACAAGCCAGGCAAACUGGCAUUGCAGCUGAACUGCCACCAUUGGUGAUAGUAGCUAAAAUACGAAACCUUGUGCAUCCCGCUACUAGCUUGCCUCCCAUCAGCCAUGAUUCUCCCAUCCCCACUAUUCUCAUUGCCUAGAUUUGUGCUAUGUUUCUUGUAAGCCUUCUUAAGUCUCUAUAUUGGGGAAAAGGUGGGAUAAAAAUAAAAAAGUAAAUGAAAAAUGACUCUCUU